This 253-nucleotide ribosomal RNA is filed under the name uncultured bacterium. Its description in RNAcentral is "partial 16S ribosomal RNA". It matches the Rfam family "Bacterial small subunit ribosomal RNA", at positions 524 to 776 of the family's 1533-position model. The record is from RNAcentral.
UACAGAGGGGGCAAGCGUUGUUCGGAAUUACUGGGCGUAAAGGGCGCGUAGGCGGCCUUCUAAGUCGAACGUGAAAUCCCUGGGCUCAACCCAGGAACUGCGUCCGAUACUGGAAGGCUUGAAUUCGGGAGAGGGAUGCAGAAUUCCAGGUGUAGCGGUGAAAUGCGUAGAUAUCUGGAGGAAUACCGGUGGCGAAGGCGGCAUCCUGGACCGAGAUUGACACUGAUGAGCGAAAGCUAGGGGAGCAAACGGG